RNAcentral lists this ribosomal RNA (438 nucleotides) under uncultured bacterium. RNAcentral describes it as "partial 16S ribosomal RNA". It matches the Rfam family "Bacterial small subunit ribosomal RNA", at positions 338 to 794 of the family's 1533-position model. The record is from RNAcentral.
CCUACGGGAGGCAGCAGUGAGGAAUUUUCCGCAAUGGGCGAAAGCCUGACGGAGCGACGCCGUGUGUGCGAUGAAGUCCUUCGGGAUGUAAAGCACUGUCAGAGGGGACGAUAAUGACGGUACCCUCAGAGGAAGGCCCGGCUAACUACGUGCCAGCAGCCGCGGUAAUACGUAGGGGCCAAGCGUUGUCCGGAAUCAUUGGGCGUAAAGGGCGUGUAGGCGGUCUGAUAAGUCAGAUGUUAAAUCUACGAGCUCAACUCGUAGCCGCAUCUGAUACUGUCAGGCUAGAGAAUGGUAGAGGAAAGCGGAACUUCCGGUGUAGCGGUGAAAUGCGUAGAUAUCGGAAGGAACACCAGUGGCGAAGGCGGCUUUCUGGGCCAUUUCUGACGCUGAGACGCGAAAGCUAGGGGAGCGAACGGGAUUAGAUCCCCCUGUAGU